UAUUUACCAAGUGAUCUUAAUUAACAAAUAUGUACAAUAUUACAUGGAACUGAUAUCCUCCAGAUGGAAAAAAAUGUAUUACAUAUCAACUUCAAAAUAUAAGGAAUUGGAAAUAUUAUUCCAAAUAUUAAAGUAAAAAAAUAUAAAACUUUAAUUAUAAGUGCCAAAAACAAGAUGGAUACUUCUAUUACAUUUAACAAAUGGACUACCUGGAUAUAAAGUAAUGAUUACUGGACUUAUGAUAUACAGAGGAGGUAUUAUUUUAUUAAAAGAAAGUAAAUUUAGAGAAAUUGACGGAGAAAUAAAAAAUUUAUCCGUCAUCAAUGCAUUAGAAAAUGUUCUAACUUGAACUUUAAACUGUUCAGAAAAUACAGACUUCUAUAUAAUAAAGGUUAGAAGAUAAUGAAAGACCACUUGCUACAAAUGAUUUCUUUGAAGAUGAUUUUGAAAUCAAUUU
Vespa mandarinia (Asian giant hornet) is the source of this 457-nucleotide long non-coding RNA. The record is from RefSeq and is a predicted model, not a curated record. Lineage: Eukaryota; Metazoa; Arthropoda; Insecta; Hymenoptera; Vespidae.